UAACACGUGGAUAACCUACCUAUAAGACUGGGAUAACUUCGGGAAACCGGAGCUAAUACCGGAUAAUAUAUUGAACCGCAUGGUUCAAUAGUGAAAGACGGUUUUGCUGUCACUUAUAGAUGGAUCCGCGCCGCAUUAGCUAGUUGGUAAGGUAACGGCUUACCAAGGCAACGAUGCGUAGCCGACCUGAGAGGGUGAUCGGCCACACUGGAACUGAGACACGGUCCAG
RNAcentral lists this ribosomal RNA (229 nucleotides) under uncultured Staphylococcus sp. RNAcentral's name for it is "partial 16S ribosomal RNA". It matches the Rfam family "Bacterial small subunit ribosomal RNA", at positions 111 to 334 of the family's 1533-position model. The record is from RNAcentral. Lineage: Bacteria; Bacillati; Bacillota; Bacilli; Caryophanales; Staphylococcaceae.